GAUGAACGCUGGCGGCGUGCCUCAAACAUGCAAGUCGAGCGGGGCUAUGUAAUAUCGCAAGGUAGAACAUAGCCUAGCGGCGAACGGGUGAGUAACACGUGGGUAACCUGCCUGGAAGACAGGGAUAACGAUUCGAAAGGGUCGCUAAUACCUGAUAAUAUCCUUUCAUCGCAUGGUGAUAGGAAGAAAGGGGAAACCCGCUUUCAGGUGGGCCCGCGUCCCAUCAGCUAGUUGGUAAGGUAAAGGCUUACCAAGGCGACGACGGGUAGCCGGUCUGAGAGGAUGUACGGCCACACUGGGACUGAGAUACGGCCCAGACUCCUACGGGAGGCAGCAGUUGGGAAUCUUAGGCAAUGGACGAAAGUCUGACCUAGCGACGCCGCGUGAGGGAAGAAGGCCUUCGGGUUGUAAACCUCUGUCAUGGGGGAAGAAGUAAGUGACGGUACCCCAAGAGGAAGCCCCUGCUAACUACGUG
RNAcentral lists this ribosomal RNA (475 nucleotides) under uncultured bacterium. RNAcentral describes it as "bacterial SSU rRNA". It matches the Rfam family "Bacterial small subunit ribosomal RNA", at positions 28 to 507 of the family's 1533-position model. The record is from RNAcentral.